AUCAACUUUCGAUGGUAGGAUAGAGGCCUACCAUGGUGGUAACGGGUAACGGGGUGUUAGGGCACGACACCGGAGAGGGAGCCUGAGAAACGGCUACCACAUCCAAGGAUGGCAGCAGGCGCGCAAAUUACCCAAUCCCGACACGGGGAGGUAGUGACAAUAAAUAACAAUACGGGGUUCUUUCGGAUUUCGUAAUUGGAAUGAGUACAAUUUAAAUCUCUUAACGAGGAACAAUUGGAGGGCAAGUCUGGUGCCAGCAGCCGCGGUAAUUCCAGCUCCAAUAGCGUAUAUUAAAGUUGUUGCAGUUAAAAAGCUCGUAGUUGAAUUUCGGGAUCAAUACGUCGGUCGUGCCUCUGGUAUGUACUGGUGUUAUUGAUUUCUCCCUUCUGAUGAACCAUGAUGUCAUUCAUUUGGUGUUGUGUGGAGUCAGGACUGUUACUUUGAAAAAAUUAGAGUGUUUAAAGCAGGCUAACGCUUGAAUACAUUAGCAUGGAAUAAUGAAAUAGGACGUUUGAUCCUAUUUUGUUGGUUUCUAGGAUUGACGUAAUGAUUAAUAGGGAUAGUUGGGGGCAUUAGUAUUCAAUUGUCAGAGGUGAAAUUCUUGGAUUUAUUGAAGACUAACUACUGCGAAAGCAUUUGCCAAGGAUGUUUUCAUUAAUCAAGAACGAAAGUUAGGGGAUCGAAGACGAUCAGAUACCGUCGUAGUCUUAACCAUAAACUAUGCCGACUAGGGAUCGGAUGAUGUUAAUUUUUUAAUGACUCAUUCGGCGCCUUACGGGAAACCAAAGUGUUUGGGUUC
This 799-nucleotide ribosomal RNA is filed under the name uncultured Glomeromycotina. RNAcentral's name for it is "SSU rRNA". It matches the Rfam family "Eukaryotic small subunit ribosomal RNA", at positions 314 to 1114 of the family's 1831-position model. The record is from RNAcentral. Lineage: Eukaryota; Fungi; Glomeromycota.